UAACUGUAACUUAUAAAAUAAUAUAUAAUACUAUAACUUAUAAAGUAGUAUAUUAUGCAUUUCAAGCCACAACAUAGCACGCAUGAUUAAAUUGCAAUGUAUAUCACAAUCCAAAAUCAAACCAUAUACAUUGAUACAAGCAAAUCAACUUCACCAUGACUUAACAGAGGCAAUAAUUUUAACAAAGAGGGAAAAUGAAAUAAACACCAACAUCCCAAAAAUCAUUUACAGUAAUGUUAAAAUCUAUAUGAAGUCUCAUAAAUUUCACGCAUGCGACAUAAUACCGGUGUCGAAUGUUCAUCACCAUAGAUCCGAUUCCGACACCGAAAUGUAAGCAACAACAGCACAUAAACAAUUUGCAGUAUUACAAAGUGUGGUGGCUAUACUCAAACUUUAAAUAUAUAUACACAGUGAAAAUCAAGCACCACCAAAUUUCAAAUGCUGAUGUAAAAAAAACGCAGGUACCUAACAACAUUGAAAUAUACAAGAAAUUGGUGUUUAACCUCGUCUGUUCGCAGCUCCCACUUGAUAUCGCACGAGACCGACGGUGUGAAUUCAACCCACGAAACCACAAUGCCUUUA
Molecule: long non-coding RNA, 582 nt
Filed under: Lathyrus oleraceus (garden pea)
Lineage: Eukaryota; Viridiplantae; Streptophyta; Magnoliopsida; Fabales; Fabaceae
Description: Pisum sativum (pea) long non-coding RNA (PSAT_LNC007620)
Source: RNAcentral